GCAAAAAUAGUUUUGUAAUGUAAUUUAAAGUGGAAUACUUGGUAAACAGAUCUAUCAUACUGUUCCAUGAUUCAAAUGCAUCUUUCCCAGCAUGGCUUGACUGUCAAACUGAGAUUAAGUAGCAGUAUGUGAAAAGACAGGCAAAUCAAAGAUUAACGUACAAUCUAGAAUGGAACAGUAUUAAAGAAGGUGAUGGUUAAAUGAGGCUUUCUUCCUCCCCCACACAAGAAAUACCACGCAUUGUUUACUGCAGUGUUAUCACAUUGGUUUCUCGGACCCAGAGUAUACACACAAGUUGAGAAUGCUUUCCAAAGAUCGAAGAGGAGGAAGGAUUGGGGGUUUUCUUGUUUGCUUUUUUAAUCCAUGUGUUUUCUACCUUAGACCCCUUUUUAUCUGAAAUUAGAGUUUCAGGAGAAGGCUGAAGGGGACUUGCAGAUGCAGGCAGGUUCCUGAAGGAAUAGGAUCCUUUCCGGCUUUCGUUAAACCACGAGAAAGGCAGGCCCGCUGACGGCGUGGAGGCCUGAGCAGUGGAGGACAGCUUCGGUUUCCAGUGUUCCAGGCUGCCGCUGAAGAUCCUGGGUUAUGAAAAGAACGGCAUGCGGAACUUCCCUGACCAGGGAUGGAACCUGCGCCACCUGCAGUGGAAGCGCAGAAUCUUAGCCACUAGACCACUAGGGAAGUCCGAUAGUUAUCUUUUUUGCAUCUAAAUGGAUUCUAUAACAAUGAUCAAUAUUUUGUUAUCAUUAUUGCCACGAUGAAUUUUAUGAAAUGUGCCUAAUAAAUGUAUGUGGAUAAAUUAGUAUCA
Molecule: long non-coding RNA, 805 nt
Organism: Balaenoptera ricei (Rice's whale)
Lineage: Eukaryota; Metazoa; Chordata; Mammalia; Artiodactyla; Balaenopteridae
Exons: 2
Source: RefSeq, a predicted model, not a curated record